CGAACGGGUGAGUAACGCGUGAGGAACCUGCCUCAAAGAGGGGGACAACAGUUGGAAACGACUGCUAAUACCGCAUAAGCCCACGGUUCGGCAUCGAGCAGAGGGAAAAGGAGCAAUCCGCUUUGAGAUGGCCUCGCGUCCGAUUAGCUAGUUGGUGAGGUAACGGCCCACCAAGGCGACGAUCGGUAGCCGGACUGAGAGGUUGAACGGCCACAUUGGGACUGAGACACGGCCCAG
This 237-nucleotide ribosomal RNA is filed under the name uncultured bacterium. RNAcentral's name for it is "partial 16S ribosomal RNA". It matches the Rfam family "Bacterial small subunit ribosomal RNA", at positions 99 to 334 of the family's 1533-position model. The record is from RNAcentral.